This 441-nucleotide unclassified non-coding RNA is filed under the name Hevea brasiliensis (rubber tree). Lineage: Eukaryota; Viridiplantae; Streptophyta; Magnoliopsida; Malpighiales; Euphorbiaceae. The record is from RNAcentral.
GAAGCAAACACAAUUAUAUAAAUUUAUAAGAAGAGUUGUUGAUUUCUAUUUUUUUUUGCGAGAUUAAAGAUUUUCGAUAUCAAACUUCAGUUUUAAAAUAUCCCGUAUUCUUCUGUCGAAAGCUCUCAUCGAAAGUAUGGAAGUCUCUGCUUGGUUUGUUAUUGUCUCAGUCGCUACUCAUCAAGAGGUAAAUAAUUCUCAGUUAUUUUAUUCAUUCAGUUUCCAGUAGUAUUUUGGAUUUGAGUUGUGUUUUUAUGGGCUUCAAAAUACUUUUACUUGAUAUGUUGUACUCUAAAUGAUACCUUUAGCCCUCACCUUAUUUCUCUCGGUAACUGGUAGUGUAUAUUUCGUUUUGAAGUAAUUGAAUGUAUGUUCGAAUUUAUUUUAUCCGUUCUUAAUUCCCUCAAGCUCGUGACAAUAGUGCUUGCCUCAAUAGUUAGU